This 113-nucleotide small RNA is filed under the name Virgibacillus chiguensis. RNAcentral's name for it is "RNA Staph. aureus E". It matches the Rfam family "RNA Staph. aureus E (RoxS)". From Rfam's summary of the family: It was shown to be regulated by the presence of nitric oxide (NO). In Bacillus subtilis it controls expression of genes with functions related to oxidative stress and oxidation-reduction reactions and it was renamed RoxS (for related to oxidative stress). The record is from RNAcentral. Lineage: Bacteria; Bacillati; Bacillota; Bacilli; Caryophanales; Bacillaceae.
AUGUAAGUUAGAUACAAACAAAACCCCUUUGUUUGAUCAUGAAACUUUCUCCCAUCCCCCUUUGUUAUUACAAAGAGAAAAGAAGGAUAUGCGCUGCCCCGCAUAUCCUUCUU